GAGCUCAAAGCCCAUCCUGGACAUGACCCAAGUGACUAUCAGAACGCACCAGGGAAUAGGCUGAAAGUCGGCUUUGCUAGCGAUGGUGUGUCUGGCCAGGACACCUGGGCGUGAAGGAGGAAGGGGAAGAAGCCAUGGCGGAACUUGUGCUGGAAGCCUGGGAGAUUGUUGCCCUGAUCCUCAUGACCGUCAUCAUCAUGAGCACCCUGAUCGGGCUCCCCCCUGUCGUUAUGGUUAUGUGGAGGAUGAAGCAACGACAGAUCGUCUCUCUGGAAGGAACUACGUGAGCCUACACCGCUUGAGAAGCUAUCGAGGACCUAGGCCUGUGAAGGGCCGUCACCUGUGGAGAGAAUUCAUGAUGCUGCAGUGCCUCGCUCUUCUGGAGAAAGAGAAAUAAGGAUAGUGAGAGCAGUGAAAUGUCUGAACUCUUGAAUGCAUAGAGAAGCAGCGUGGCUCAGUGGAAAGAGCCCAGGCUUGGGAGUCAGAGGUCAUGGGUUCGAAUCCCGGCUCUGCCACUUGUCAGCUGUGUGACUGUGGGCAAAUCACUCGACUUCUCUGUGCCUGUUACCUCAUCUGUAAAAUGGGGAUGAAGACCGUGAGCCUCACGUGGGACAACCUGAUUACCCUGUAUCUUCCCCAGCACUUAAAACAGUGCUCUGCACAUAGUAAGCGCUUACCAAAUGCCACCAUUAUUAUUAUAUUUCAGUGGUUUGUUCACUUUGAUGUCAUUUUGGACUUUAUUUUUGCCUGAACUGUUUCCUCAGAUAGGUUCCUUGGAAGAAGGCUUUGUGGUUGUCAGGCUCUGUGCUUUUCUUCAUUGGAUUUUUGUUAAAUUAACUCCACGUCUCCCCACUCCUCAAGAGCCUCCAGUGGUUGCCCAUCAACCUCUGCAUCAAACAGAAACUCCUUGUCAUCGGCUUUAAGGCUCUCAAUCAGCUUUCUCCCUUCUAUCCUACCACUCUAAUCUCCUCCUACAGCCCAGUCCACUCACUUUGCUCCUUCAACACCAAUUUACUCAUUGUACUUCCAUCUCAUGUAUCUCACCAUUGACCCCUUCUCCACAUGCUUCCUCUGACCUGGCUCUCCCUUCCCCUUCACAUCCCAAAUACUGCUACUCUCCCCACCUUCAUAGCCUUAUUAAAAUCCCACCUCCUCCAAGAGGUCUUCCCCAACUAAGCCCUCAUUUCCUCUACUUCCUCUCGUUUCUCCAUUGCUUAUGCUCUUGGAUCUGUUCCCUUUAAGUACUUGAUGUUCACCCCGCCUCAGUCCCACAGCACUUAUGUCAAUAUCCAUAAUUUAUUUAUAUUAAUUUCUGUCUCCCCCUCUAGACUGGGCAGGGAAUGUGUCUAUUGUAUUCUCCCAACUAUAGUGCUCUGCACCCAGUAAGUGCUCAAUAAAUACCAUUGAUUGAUUGAUUGAACACUGUGGGACUAGUCUUCAUCGAGAUGGCUUUUCAAAGGCAGGGCCGAGAUUAAAGGAGGCUACUUGUGGUCCUUGUGGGUACCGGACAAGGAACACACGUGACAUCGCUUGUGUUAUGCCGAUACGCAGCUUAACCUAGUGACAUUAUAUGAACUAUUUUAAAAAAGUCUAUUACUGGACAUCUAUCCAGUACUAAUUAAACCACGCCCAAAGUGUGUCCCUGGGAGACUCCUGACCUCCCGCUUGCUCCAAUCCAUUGAAUUCCCCUCCUUGAUCCAUGUGGGGAGAAUGGUGGGCUGUGGUAUAUGAAAGGAGAGGGAAUUCCAGGUCAGAGCGAGCAUGUGGACAAGCGACUAGUGGUGAGAUAGACGAGAUUGAAGUACACCGCUUCCAACCCAUGGAACUCAGUGGAAGGAGUUAUGCUGGGGGAAAGCUGGGCUCUAGAAUAAAUAAAAUGGACAAGGAGGUGCUACAUAAUAAUAAUAAUGUUGGAAUUUGUUAAGUGCUUACUAUCUGCCAAGCACUGUUCUAAGCCCUGGGGUAGAUCAGGGUAAUCAGGUUGUCCUAUGUGAGGCUCACAGUCUUAAUCCCCAUUUUACAAAUGAGGUAACUGAGGCACCGAGAAAUGAAGUGACUUGCCUAAAGUCACAUAGCUGACAGGUGGCGGAGUCAGGAUUAGAACCCAUGACCUCUGACUCCUAAGCCCCUUGUUCCAGACUGUCCAUAAUAAUAAUAAUAACAACAAUAGUAAUUAUGAUACUUGUUAAGUGCUUAUUAUGUGCCAAACACUGUUCUCAGUACUAGGGUAGAUACAAGUUAAUUAGGUUGGACAUAGUCCCUGUCCCACAUAGCGUUUACAGUCAUAAUCACCAUUUUACAGGUGAGGUGACUGAGAUACAGAGAAGUGAAGUGACUUGCCCAAGAUCAUACAGCAGGCAAGUGGCGGAGCUGGGAUUAGAACCCAGGUCCUUCUGACUCCCAGGCCCGUGCUCUAUCCACUAAGCCACGUGAAAAGCUUCAAAAAAAAAUGGAACGCUUCACACAUUUGCAUGUCAUCUUUGCUCAGGGGCUAUGCCAGUCUUCUCUGUGUCUUUUCAGUUUUAGUGUAUAUACACAAGGGCCCAUCCUAUGCAGGAUCAAAACUUGGAAGAAGUCUGGAAGAAGGAAGAAAACUAGUGAGAUGAGAGGGUCUGCACCCAAUUUACAUAGUAACCCCCUUGGGCAUGGAUAACCAGGGAGGAGAAUUCUCUGGUGUUGACUGGGAUCCUCUGCAAGUUGGGGCAAAGUGGCCCCCGGCAUUUGAAAUCAAAUCCCAUCAAAUCAGGAUUUAAUUAACUGGGUGUGGUUUGUUAAUCCAGGAGACUGAAGCAAUACACAAAGUUAAUUUUCCAUCAGAACUAGCAUCAUCAGUCACGGAUUCCAAACCUUAGCCCCACCCAGCAGUGAUAACAUCCAGCAUCGCAAGAUUCAGAACUGCUUUCUCAGUAAUUGUGCUCAGACUCCAGGUGUUACUCUUCAUACUUGUAUAGAUGUGGUCUUUGCCCUCAAGAAGAUUGCUCAUAACGAACUAGAUAUAGCAUCCUGGCCCAGCCUUAAGAACCUCAAAUAUCUUAUAUGCUCUCAGCUGGUACUCAAUAAAUACCAUGUCUUCCUCUAACUGCACAACCUAGGCUGCCUCUUGGAAAUGUUUAUUUAUUUCAAGCCAUUUUAUCAUUCAGCCAUUCACAGUCAGAUCUCUGAUA
Molecule: long non-coding RNA, 3164 nt
Filed under: Ornithorhynchus anatinus (platypus)
Lineage: Eukaryota; Metazoa; Chordata; Mammalia; Monotremata; Ornithorhynchidae
Description: lncRNA (ENSOANG00000033467.2)
Rfam family: tRNA (bases 444-515)
Source: RNAcentral